Long non-coding RNA from Sinocyclocheilus grahami, 365 nucleotides. RefSeq lists it as uncharacterized. NCBI's taxonomy places the organism in Eukaryota, Metazoa, Chordata, Actinopteri, Cypriniformes, Cyprinidae. The record is from RefSeq and is a predicted model, not a curated record. The transcript is spliced from 3 exons.
GUCAGUGUGAUUUGGAGAGGGGGGUGAAACUGUGUUUCUCAGAGAUGGACUCUACUGUGUAAACAUGACAAAAUUGUGCAUGUGAUGCCGUCUGGAACAAGCUUGCAUAUAGAGAAGGAGUAAGAGAUAUAUAAACAAUAUGCAGAUAUUCAUGAAUCCUCAAGAGAUAAAAAGAAAGACUACAAGUAAACAACUCGGAGGAAGCAGGACAUCAGUACUUGGAGGUUUGGGGCCAAAAUGGUCUGGAGAAACGUUUGGACCUUACAGCUCUAAAUAAACAUGGAAAAGUGUACGAAGAUGCUCAGUUUAGCUUGACAACAAGAGACAGGAGAGUAUCACCUCACCAGGGUCUGGAGCAAGAGCAC